AUUGAACGCUGGCGGCAUGCUUUACACAUGCAAGUCGGACGGCAGCACAGAGAAGCUUGCUUCUUGGGUGGCGAGUGGCGAACGGGUGAGUAACAUAUCGGAACGUACCGAGCAGUGGGGGAUAACUAAUCGAAAGAUUAGCUAAUACCGCAUAUCCUCUGAGGAAGAAAGCAGGGGACCAUUUGGCCUUGCGCUGUUUGAGCGGCCGAUAUCUGAUUAGCUAGUUGGUGGGGUAAAGGCCUACCAAGGCGACGAUCAGUAGCGGGUCUGAGAGGAUGAUCCGCCACACUGGGACUGAGACACGGCCCAGACUCCUACGGGAGGCAGCAGUGGGGAAUUUUGGACAAUGGGCGAAAGCCUGAUCCAGCCAUGCCGCGUGUCUGAAGAAGGCCUUCGGGUUGUAAAGGACUUUUGUCAGGGAAGAAAAGGGCGGGGUUAAUACCCCUGUCUGAUGACGGUACCUGAAGAAUAAGCACCGGCUAACUACGUGCCAGCAGCCGCGGUAAUACGUAGGGUGCGAGCGUUAAUCGGAAUUACUGGGCGUAAAGCGGGCGCAGACGGUUACUUAAGCAGGAUGUGAAAUCCCCGGGCUCAACCUGGGAACUGCGUUCUGAACUGGGUGACUAGAGUGUGUCAGAGGGAGGUAGAAUUCCACGUGUAGCAGUGAAAUGCGUAGAGAUGUGGAGGAAUACCGAUGGCGAAGGCAGCCUCCUGGGAUAACACUGACGUUCAUGCCCGAAAGCGUGGGUAGCAAACAGG
RNAcentral lists this ribosomal RNA (759 nucleotides) under uncultured Neisseria sp. RNAcentral's name for it is "bacterial SSU rRNA". It matches the Rfam family "Bacterial small subunit ribosomal RNA", at positions 28 to 776 of the family's 1533-position model. The record is from RNAcentral. Lineage: Bacteria; Pseudomonadati; Pseudomonadota; Betaproteobacteria; Neisseriales; Neisseriaceae.